CAUUACCGAGUUCAUGCCCUUCUGGGUAGAUCUCCCACCCUAUGUUUAUCAUACCUUUGUUGCUUUGGCGGGCCGCCUAGCUACUGGCUUCGGCUGGUAAGUGCCCGCCAGAGGACCCCAAACCCUGAAUUAUUAGUGUCGUCUGAGUAAAAAAAAGUUAAUAUUUAAAACUUUCAACAACGGAUCUCUUGGCUCUGGCAUCGAUGAAGAACGCAGCGAAAUGCGAUAAGUAAUGUGAAUUGCAGAAUUCAGUGAAUCAUCGAAUCUUUGAACGCACAUUGCGCCCCUUGGUAUUCCGAGGGGCAUGCCUAUUCGAGCGUCAUUAUCACCCCUCAAGCCUAGCUUGGUGUUGAGGCCUGCUGUAAAGGCAGCCUCUAAAAUCAGUGGCAGUGCUGUCAGGCUCUAAGCGUAGUAAAUUCGUCGCUAUAGAUUCCUGGUGGAUACUCGCCAAAACCCCCCCAUUUUUUAAUGAUUGACCUCGGAUUAGGUAGGGAUACCCGCUGAACUUAAGCAUAUC
Molecule: ribosomal RNA, 517 nt
Filed under: Tetracladium sp. GPO_LL_01_E7
Lineage: Eukaryota; Fungi; Ascomycota; Leotiomycetes; Helotiales
Description: eukaryotic LSU rRNA
Rfam family: 5.8S ribosomal RNA (bases 169-322)
Source: RNAcentral